CUUUGUUUGAAAUUAGAUAAGGGUUAUAUAUUUUAAACCAAGAAGAAACCACUCUGUGGUCCCGGGAACACAGUGCCUCAGAGAAAAUCCAGAAAGCUCUAACGGCUUACCAACAUCACCUUUCUUAAGACAGAUCAUUUCAUGUCUGUUGCAUGAACAUGGAUGUGCCACCCUGUCAUAUUGGUUCUGAUCUCCAUGAUGUCUUUCAUAAGAAGACAUACUGCAGAAAGGAAGGACUCUCUACCAUUGGAAUUUUAUCUACAUCAGAAAAAAGACUGCUAGAACAGCGAAGUGGCCUUAGCCUCAAGAACGAUGGUGCUCUGUGCUUUCAUCAUGAGAAAGUAUAUUUAAUGCGUUAUGAAACUCUUCAGAAAGUUUGCUGUGACCCGUCUGAAAGGCAUAAAAAGGCCCGCAAAAGUAACGUCCAUGUGAUGAAUGAAGUCAAGACUGAGCUACUCAAAGUUAAACCAGGCCAAAAGCUGUGCAAUAAUUGCACUACAAUCUUCCUGAAAAAGUUCAAACCAGCCGAUCUUUCAUCACCUAGUGAAGAGUUUGAACCUGAACCAUGCAUUUCACAGUUUCACAGUUGGUGCCAGUUAUGAAGCCCUUGGUUGCUCUUCAGUGAAAAAGGUUUCCGGACGUGGCAGGCAACUAUAUACCUAGCGAAAAGUUAAGGACAUACACAAAGCUGCAAAGUCCAAGGUUGCCAAGGUACAUGAUGUACCAUCUCAGGACUUUUCCUCUGAAGCAGAGAGGUGUCUAAGGUGCCAAGAGUGGGAUUGAUUAUUGACACUGAUCAAAGGAAAGUGUGCCAUUUCUUCAAGGUGGGAGAAAAUAAGAAUUCUCGCUCUUGCUCCAGAGACUUGGAGUGUGCAAAAGAUUGCUGCUGAAUUUGGAGUAUCCAGGUACUUGGCAAAAAGAGGAGUGGAACUUCGAAAGAGCCAAGGAAUUCUAGCUGCGCCUGAUCCAUACUGAGACAAUCCUCUUAACUCAGAAAUAAAGGAGCGCGAGAUUGUCUUUUAUCAGUCUGAUGACUUUUCCAGAAUGUGCCCUGGACAGAAGGACUGUGUUUCACUCACAAUUGAUGGUGUGUGCACACAAAUGCACAAAUGUUUGAUUUUGAUAAACCUUCAAGAACUAUACUUGGAGUACAAAAAUCAAACUGGCAUCAAAAUUGGCUUCUCUAAAUUUUGCAAACUUGGACCAAAAUUGUGUCUUACAGUCACCUGUGAGAGUAUGUAUGUGUGUGUUUAUGCGUGUGUGUUUAUGCAUGUGUGUGUUUAUGUAUGUGUGUGUUUAUGUAUGUCAAUCAAUCAAUCAAUCAAUCAACAACUUUAUUAAUCCCAAAGGGCAAUUCAGUUCGCACAUCUCUGGUCAUGCACAAUAUAUAAAUAUAAAUAAUAAAAAGAAAGAAAGACAGACACUAGACAUUCGAACCACAGUGCAUCAGGGACACAGCAACAAAUUCACUUUCCGUUUAAAAUCCUUAUGGCAGAAGGAAUAAAAGAUUUGGCAUAGCGGUUAGUCCUUUGCUGUGGGGUGACAUAGCGCCUCCCAGAGGGCAUCUUCACGAACUGUGAACGCAGCACAUGGCUAGGCUGGCUCAAUAUGGUCUUAGUCCUUUGUAACACCCGAUGUCUCCACACAGAGGCCAAAUCCUCCAUCUGAACACCACUGAUUUUGCUGCAAACUUUUACAAUCUGGUUCAGACUGUUCUUGUCUUUCACAGAUAAUCCAUAAAACCAACAGAUAAAAGAAAAGGUCAGCAAACUUUCAAUAAAAGAAUGAUAAAAAUUAUUUAAAAUAUUAGGCGAUACAUUAAAAGAGCUGAGCUUCCGCAUCAAGUGAAGCCGCUGCUGUCCUCGUUUGACGAUGUGCUCAGUGUUCUUAUCGAACCUUAAAGAGGAAUCAAACACAGUUCCCAAGUACUUAUAAGAGUCUACCAUUUCUAUGGCUUCUCCAUGGAUGGAACUGGCUAUUGGGCUGUGGACUUUUUUCCGGAAGUCUACAACCAUUUCUUUGGUUUUGGCUACAUUUAGGUCCAGGUAGUUAUUAUCACACCAUUCAAUGAAAGCAGGUAAAGCUCGGCCAUGGUCAGAGUUUGCUCCCUGCAGGAGAGAGAGGAGGACAGUAUCAUCUGAAAACUUGAUCAUGUAGCUGCCCUCAUUUGCGGACCUACAACUGUGUGUGUUUAUGUAUGUGUGUGUUUAUGUAUGUAUGUGUUUAUGUGUGUGUGUGUUUAUGUAUGUGUGUGUUUAUGUGUCUGUGUGUUUAUGUGUGUGUGUGUUUAUGUGUGUGUGUGUGUUUAUGUGUGUGUGUGUUUAUGUGUGUGUGUGUUUAUGUAUGUAUGAGUGUUUAUGUAUGUAUGUGUGUUUAUGUAUGUGUGUGUUUUUGUGUGUGUGUGUUUAUGUAUGUAUGUGUGUGUGUUUAUGUGUGUGUGUGUUUAUGUGUGUGUGUUUAUGUGUGUGUGUGUGUUUAUGUAUGUAUGUGUGUGUGUUUAUGUAUGUAUGUGUUUAUGUGUGUGUGUGUUAUGUAUGUAUGUAUGUGUGUGUGUUUAUGUAUGUGUGUGUUUAUGUGUGUGUGUGUUUAUGUAUGUAUGUGUGUGUGUUUAUGUGUGUAUGUGUGUUUAUGUAUGUA
This is a long non-coding RNA of Boleophthalmus pectinirostris (great blue-spotted mudskipper), 2637 nucleotides long. RefSeq lists it as uncharacterized. The record is from RefSeq and is a predicted model, not a curated record. The transcript has 3 exons. NCBI's taxonomy places the organism in Eukaryota, Metazoa, Chordata, Actinopteri, Gobiiformes, Gobiidae.